UGAUGUGUCUGAACUGGCUGGUUAUAAGGUAUCCCAUUCCUCCCUCACCACUCCACGUACGUGCCUCCUCAAGCUGUGUGCUCAGCAGAAGAAGAUGACCAUCCCAGACAGAAGGAGAAUUAGGCCAUUUCUGCAUUCUUAUUGUUUGGACCAGUUUAACUAUUCCACUCCAAUCUGUCCUGAACCAAGUACAGCAGGUCCAGUCUGCAUUG
Molecule: small RNA, 212 nt
Filed under: Salvator merianae (Argentine black and white tegu)
Lineage: Eukaryota; Metazoa; Chordata; Lepidosauria; Squamata; Teiidae
Description: 7SK RNA (ENSSMRG00000000091.1)
Rfam family: 7SK RNA (bases 1-118)
About the family: 7SK was discovered as an abundant small nuclear RNA in the mid-70s but a possible function has only recently been suggested. Two independent studies have found that 7SK RNA binds the CDK9/cyclin T complex (known as elongation factor P-TEFb).
Source: RNAcentral